Molecule: non-coding RNA, 45 nt
Organism: Schistosoma mattheei
Lineage: Eukaryota; Metazoa; Platyhelminthes; Trematoda; Strigeidida; Schistosomatidae
Source: Rfam
AUCCAGAUGACGAGCCCGCAAUAGGACGAAACGCGCGUCCUGGAU